UACGUAGGGGGCAAGCGUUUUCCGGAAUUAUUGGGCGUAAAGCGCGCGCAGGCGGUUCCUUAAGUCUGAUGUGAAAGCACACGGCUCAACCGUGGAGGGUCAUUGGAAACUGGGGAACUUGAGGACAGAAGAGGAGAGUGGAAUUCCACGUGUAGCGGUGAAAUGCGUAGAUAUGUGGAGGAACACCAGUGGCGAAGGCGACUCUCUGGUCUGUCUCUGACGCUGAGGUGCGAAAGCGUGGGUAGCAAACAGG
RNAcentral lists this ribosomal RNA (253 nucleotides) under uncultured bacterium. Its description in RNAcentral is "partial 16S ribosomal RNA". It matches the Rfam family "Bacterial small subunit ribosomal RNA", at positions 524 to 776 of the family's 1533-position model. The record is from RNAcentral.